This 325-nucleotide long non-coding RNA is filed under the name Solanum tuberosum (potato). RNAcentral's name for it is "long non-coding RNA (STUB_LNC001479)". The record is from RNAcentral. Lineage: Eukaryota; Viridiplantae; Streptophyta; Magnoliopsida; Solanales; Solanaceae.
UAAAGAAAAGACAAAACAUUACCAUAAAUAUUUUUACUUUUCUUGAAAGGAAAAUAUAAUAUUCUUUCAUAUUUGGUUUAUUCUUUCCUUUUAGGAAGAGGUUUUGGAGUAGCUAGUUCUUUUAUAGUAGGAAAAGUUUUAGGACUCUAUAAAUAUAAGUUUGUUUCUUCUAACACAAUAACAAUAACAUCCACAAUGUAGUCGUUUAAGAGUCUUGUUUAUGGGGAGAUUUAUUCUCUCUAAAGUUUCAAUGUUUUUCUUUAUAUUAGUUUUGAUAUAAUAAUAUUUUGAUUUUUAGUAUAAGUUUUUGUUAUCUGAUUUAUCA